Molecule: ribosomal RNA, 252 nt
Filed under: uncultured bacterium
Lineage: Bacteria
Description: partial 16S ribosomal RNA
Rfam family: Bacterial small subunit ribosomal RNA
Source: RNAcentral
UACGGAGGAUGCGAGCGUUAUCCGGAUUUAUUGGGUUUAAAGGGUGCGCAGGCGGCCCGUCAAGUCAGCGGUAAAAUGUCGGGGCUCAACCCCGGCCGGCCGUUGAAACUGGGGGGCUCGAGUUGGAGAGAGGCAUGCGGAAUUCGUGGUGUAGCGGUGAAAUGCAUAGAUAUCACGAAGAACUCCGAUUGCGAAGGCAGCAUACCGGCUCCACACUGACGCUCAGGCACGAAAGCGUGGGUAUCGAACAGG